RNAcentral lists this ribosomal RNA (255 nucleotides) under uncultured bacterium. Its description in RNAcentral is "partial 16S ribosomal RNA". It matches the Rfam family "Bacterial small subunit ribosomal RNA", at positions 524 to 776 of the family's 1533-position model. The record is from RNAcentral.
UACAGAGGGGCAAGCGUUAUUCGGAAUUAUUGGCGUAAAGGGCGCGUAGGCGGCCUGGCAAGUGGAAGGUGAAAUCCCUCGGCCUUAACCGAGGAACUGCCCUCCAAACUGGCUUGGCUUGAGUCCGGGAGAGGUGAGUGGAAUUCCCAGUGUAGCGGUGAAAUGCGUAGAUAUUGGGAGGAACACCUGUGGCGAAAGCGGCGCACUGGGACCACAACUGACGCUGAGGCGACGAAAGCUAGGGGAGCAAACAGG